CGGGUGAGUAACGCGUAUGCGACCUGCCCGUUGCAGGGGGAUAAUCGGGAGAAAUCCCGGUCUAAUACCGCGUAACGCCGCGGGGCUGCAUGGCCCUGCGGCCAAAGGGAGCGAUUCCGGCAACGGAUGGGCAUGCGUGACAUUAGCUAGUUGGCGGGGCAACGGCCCACCAAGGCGACGAUCAGUAGCCGGCCUGAGAGGGCGGACGGCCACACUGGGACUGAGACACGGCCCAGACUCCUACGGGAGGCAGCAG
RNAcentral lists this ribosomal RNA (256 nucleotides) under uncultured bacterium. Its description in RNAcentral is "partial 16S ribosomal RNA". It matches the Rfam family "Bacterial small subunit ribosomal RNA", at positions 103 to 354 of the family's 1533-position model. The record is from RNAcentral.